UAAAUCAAUGGAACCUCCCGUGUUGAAAUCGGCAGGACAUCUAGUCAACGCUGACUAGCUCUCGUCCUGCUAAUUUCAACACAGAUUUGUUGUUCGUAAUGAAGCAUUAUCGUCUGGAUGCAUCGAUAGUGAGUUUACUGUGUCCGUUCAGAUUGUAAACACUGUUAGUCUUGAGCCCUGACGCUAACCUUCUACGGUACCUGCGUUACUGUAGAAAAACAAAUGCCGUCAUGUUUUCAGAAUUUUAGCCUCGACUUGGUACCGAAAUUUCGGUUCUCGGGAUGUCAUGAUGUAUCUGAAUAUCGAGCCACUUACUGUGUUCUACCGACUCAUUAUUAGCACACAGAUCUGGAAGUCUGUCACCAUUUGCCAACGUCAAUUUCUUUAGGUUGCAUUGACCAUCUUUGGAAGUUAGUUGCCCUUAAUGUACUCCACCGUACUUUCGUUGCCAAACUGCGUGCUUACAUCAUCAUUGUUUACAAACUGUAACAGACUCUGUACUGUAACAGAAAGACGCCGUUUAUCACUCUGGUUUCAUCCUCAGCUACACGCCGACCUCGCUACCGACAACCUCAAAGACGAGAAGCUGGAAGCAGGAAGAGAGAGAGAUGUAGAAGAUGCUUGGCAAGUAUGUGUAAAAAGGCAGAAAACACUGUACAAGAAGAUGCUUUUGAUUUCAACAUCAUCAUCAUCAUUAACGCUGCACAAAAACAAUCAGAAGACGACAUGACCUCCAUAAUUCAACAUUUCCUGCAACAUUCUCAGGUUUCUCCAGGAUUUGAGCUUCAGGUCACAAUCCUUCCGAACGCCAUCAUCUCCAAGAGUGUGUCCAUAGUGGCUACCUCAGCAGGUGAAA
Long non-coding RNA from Sebastes umbrosus (honeycomb rockfish), 856 nucleotides. RefSeq lists it as uncharacterized. Lineage: Eukaryota; Metazoa; Chordata; Actinopteri; Perciformes; Sebastidae. The record is from RefSeq and is a predicted model, not a curated record. The transcript is spliced from 2 exons.